Molecule: transfer RNA, 72 nt
Filed under: Achromobacter xylosoxidans
Lineage: Bacteria; Pseudomonadati; Pseudomonadota; Betaproteobacteria; Burkholderiales; Alcaligenaceae
Description: tRNA-His(gtg)
Source: RNAcentral
CCAGGCCCAGCAAGGUGAUUACGCGUGGGCGCUGUGGCGGCCCUAUGCCUGCUGCGAGCGCAGGGGCCAGGU